This 556-nucleotide ribosomal RNA is filed under the name Crystallibacter crystallopoietes. RNAcentral describes it as "bacterial SSU rRNA". It matches the Rfam family "Bacterial small subunit ribosomal RNA", at positions 338 to 903 of the family's 1533-position model. The record is from RNAcentral. Lineage: Bacteria; Bacillati; Actinomycetota; Actinomycetes; Micrococcales; Micrococcaceae.
CCUACGGGAGGCAGCAGUGGGGAAUAUUGCNACAAUGGGCGAAAGCCUGAUGCAGCGACGCCGCGUGAGGGAUGACGGCCUUCGGGUUGUAAACCUCUUUCAGCAGGGAAGAAGCGAAAGUGACGGUACCUGCAGAAGAAGCGCCGGCUAACUACGUGCCAGCAGCCGCGGUAAUACGUAGGGCGCAAGCGUUGUCCGGAAUUAUUGGGCGUAAAGAGCUCGUAGGCGGUUUGUCGCGUCUGCUGUGAAAGCCCGGGGCUCAACCCCGGGUCUGCAGUGGGUACGGGCAGACUAGAGUGCAGUAGGGGAGACUGGAAUUCCUGGUGUAGCGGUGAAAUGCGCAGAUAUCAGGAGGAACACCGAUGGCGAAGGCAGGUCUCUGGGCUGUAACUGACGCUGAGGAGCGAAAGCAUGGGGAGCGAACAGGAUUAGAUACCCUGGUAGUCCAUGCCGUAAACGUUGGGCACUAGGUGUGGGGGACAUUCCACGUUUUCCGCGCCGUAGCUAACGCAUUAAGUGCCCCGCCUGGGGAGUACGGCCGCAAGGCUAAAACUCA